Molecule: transfer RNA, 73 nt
Filed under: Ophiactis savignyi
Lineage: Eukaryota; Metazoa; Echinodermata; Ophiuroidea; Amphilepidida; Ophiactidae
Description: tRNA-Ile
Source: RNAcentral
AGGUGAAUUCCUUUAGGGUAGGAGAGACUAGCCGAUAACUAGUCUUCAGCUUGUUCGAGUCAAGCUUCAUCUU